GAUGAACGCUGGCGGCGUGCCUAAUACAUGCAAGUCGAGCGAACAGACGAGGAGCUUGCUCCUCUGACGUUAGCGGCGGACGGGUGAGUAACACGUGGAUAACCUACCUAUCAGACUGGGAUAACUUCGGGAAACCGGAGCUAAUACCGGAUAAUAUAUUGAACCGCAUGGUUCAAUAGUGAAAGACGGUUUUGCUGUCACUUAUAGAUGGAUCCGCGCCGCAUUAGCUAGUUGGUAAGGUAACGGCUUACCAAGGCAACGAUGCGUAGCCGACCUGAGAGGGUGAUCGGCCACACUGGAACUGAGACACGGUCCAGACUCCUACGGGAGGCAGCAGUAGGGAAUCUUCCGCAAUGGGCGAAAGCCUGACGGAGCAACGCCGCGUGAGUGAUGAAGGUCUUCGGAGCGGAAAACUCUGUUAUUAGGGAAGAACAAAUGUGUAAGUAACUAUGCACGUCUUGACGGUACCUAAUCAGAAAGCCACGGCUAACUACGUG
RNAcentral lists this ribosomal RNA (497 nucleotides) under uncultured bacterium. Its description in RNAcentral is "partial 16S ribosomal RNA". It matches the Rfam family "Bacterial small subunit ribosomal RNA", at positions 28 to 507 of the family's 1533-position model. The record is from RNAcentral.